UACGUAGGGGGCUAGCGUUGUCCGGAAUCAUUGGGCGUAAAGCGCGUGUAGGCGGUCCGGUAAGUCCGCUGUGAAAGUCGAGGGCUCAACCCUCGAAUGCCGGUGGAUACUGUCGGGCUAGAGUGCGGAAGAGGCGAGUGGAAUUCCUGGUGUAGCGGUGAAAUGCGCAGAUAUCAGGAGGAACACCGGUGGCGAAGGCGGGUCUCUGGGCCGAGAUUGACGCUGAGGAGCGAAAGCUAGGGGAGCAAACGGG
RNAcentral lists this ribosomal RNA (253 nucleotides) under uncultured bacterium. Its description in RNAcentral is "partial 16S ribosomal RNA". It matches the Rfam family "Bacterial small subunit ribosomal RNA", at positions 524 to 776 of the family's 1533-position model. The record is from RNAcentral.